This 263-nucleotide ribosomal RNA is filed under the name uncultured archaeon. RNAcentral's name for it is "partial 16S ribosomal RNA". It matches the Rfam family "Archaeal small subunit ribosomal RNA", at positions 717 to 982 of the family's 1478-position model. The record is from RNAcentral.
AGUCACUGACAUUAGAUACCCGUGUAGUCCAGGGUGUAAACGCUGCAGACUUGGUGUUGGAGGCCCUUUGGGGCAUUCAGUGCCGGAGAGAAGUUGUUAAGUCUGCUACUUGGGGAGUACGUCCGCAAGGAUGAAACUUAAAGGAAUUGGCGGGGGAGCACCGCAACGGGAGGAGCGUGCGGUUUAAUUGGAUUCAACACCGUAAACUCACCAGGGAAGACUGUUACAUGAAAGCCGAGAUGAAGACUCUGCUAGAUUUUCAG